GGUUGGUCCAAUGGUAGUGGGUUAUCAGAACUUAUUAACAUUUAGUGUCACUAAAGUUGGUAUACAACCCCCCACUGCUAAAUUUGGAUGGCUUAAA
Nomascus leucogenys (northern white-cheeked gibbon) is the source of this 97-nucleotide unclassified non-coding RNA. It matches the Rfam family "Y RNA". From Rfam's summary of the family: Y RNAs are components of the Ro ribonucleoprotein particle (Ro RNP), in association with Ro60 and La proteins. The record is from Ensembl. Lineage: Eukaryota; Metazoa; Chordata; Mammalia; Primates; Hylobatidae.